RNAcentral lists this ribosomal RNA (460 nucleotides) under uncultured bacterium. RNAcentral's name for it is "partial 16S ribosomal RNA". It matches the Rfam family "Bacterial small subunit ribosomal RNA", at positions 338 to 795 of the family's 1533-position model. The record is from RNAcentral.
CCUACGGGGUGCAGCAGUGAGGAAUAUUGGUCAAUGGACGAGAGUCUGAACCAGCCAAGUAGCGUGAAGGAUGACUGCCCUCUGGGUUGUAAACUUCUUUUAUAAAGGAAUAAAACGUGGCACGUGUGCCUUUUUGAAUGUACUUUAUGAAUAAGCAUCGGCUAACUCCGUGCCAGCAGCCGCGGUAAUACGGAGGAUCCGAGCGUUAUCCGGAUUUAUUGGGUUUAAAGGGAGCGUAGAUGGGUUGUUAAGUCAGUUGUGAAAGUUUGCGGCUCAACCGUAAAAUUGCAAUUGAUACUGGCAGUCUUGAGUACAGUAGAGGUAGGCGGAAUGCGUGGUGUAGCGGUGAAAUGCUUAGAUAUCACGAAGAACCCCGAUUGCGAAGGCAGCUUACUAAACUGUGACUGACAUUGAUGCUCGAAAGUGUGGGUAUCAAACAGGAUUAGAUACCCUAGUAGUC